GACGAACCGAGCGAACGUUGUUCGGAAUCACUGGGCUUAAAGGGCGCGUAGGCGGGUGCUCAAGUCCGUGGUGAAAUCCUCCGGCUCAACCGGAGAACUGCCUCGGAUACUGGGCGUCUCGAGUGUGGUAGGGGUAUGCGGAACUAUCGGUGGAGCGGUGAAAUGCGUAGAUAUCAGGAGGAAUACCGGCGGUGUAGACGGCUUGCUAGACCAUAACUGACGCUGAGGCACGAAAGCGUGGGUAGCAAACAGG
Molecule: ribosomal RNA, 253 nt
Filed under: uncultured bacterium
Lineage: Bacteria
Description: partial 16S ribosomal RNA
Rfam family: Bacterial small subunit ribosomal RNA
Source: RNAcentral